UACGGAGGGGGCGAGCUUUGUUCAGAAUUACUGGGCGUAAAGCGCGCGUAGGCGGACCUGCAAGUCGGGGGUGAAAGCCCGAGGCUCAACCUCGGAACUGCCUUCGAUACUGCGGGUCUCGAGUCCGGGAGAGGUGAGUGGAAUUCCUAGUGUAGAGGUGAAAUUCGUAGAUAUUAGGAAGAACACCAGUGGCGAAGGCGGCUCACUGGCCCGGUACUGACGCUGAGGUACGAAAGCUAGGGGAGCGAAUGGG
This 253-nucleotide ribosomal RNA is filed under the name uncultured bacterium. Its description in RNAcentral is "partial 16S ribosomal RNA". It matches the Rfam family "Bacterial small subunit ribosomal RNA", at positions 524 to 776 of the family's 1533-position model. The record is from RNAcentral.